AGGAACUUUUUAGGGACUUUUUUUAGUUUCCGGUACUAAAAAGUCGUGAACCAAACACCGACCACACAUCUUUCUUACACACCCCAAAAUAAAAUCCUCUUUCCCUGCCCUUGCCCUUGCCCGAUCCCCUUUCUCACUCCAAAAUUUCUGCCGCCGGUAGCUCUCAUCAGCUUGAUUCCUUGAUUCCCUGCCUUGAGCUUUGCUCGUCCUCACCAGCAGCUACCCCGGCAGCUCGAUUCACUGGUGCGGCCACAGGGUGAUCUUCGACGGCGGCUGGUUUGUCUCCUCGUACGACUCCUCGGUCUCCUCCUAGGCUGGUAAACGGCGAUGGAGGGGUAGCAGGGGCCAAGGUGUAGCUGCGCAAGCGAGGAGGCGAGAUCAUCAAUCUGCACGGGGUUGUUGCUGUCAAUAUCCGUGCAGGUGAUGUUCGCGUGGAUUUCGUCUUCCGCAGCUGCUUUGAUCCAUUUUAGUAUGAGGAUGGUGUAGACGUUUUCUGCCCCUAGAGCGCCGGCCAGACACAUCCUCCACAUCGGCAACAUUCUUCGAAGUUUGAAGUGUGUUGCCCUACAGCAAGAAAUAAGGAGAAGACACAUGAACUGGGAAUGAUUGGACGCGGGGAGAGAAAAAGGAAAUGUUACCUACGGAAAGAGUAGUAAAGCUCCAGCCUCUAGGUCAAUAUUGGCCUGUGUAUUGUGUGUAUCUCAAGUCUAAACUCUCACCUGGUUGGUCUUGUAAUCCCCCUCUAGCUGGCUGACAGUGGGCAUGCAACAACUCUAUUCACCUGAAAUUGCUGGCAUGCAUGAAGGAUAGGCUUUGAGACCAUCAAUCGUAUGUAUCCUGCUGAUCUGCUGAGUUGUGGUGCAUACCAUCAAUCGUAUGUAUCCUGCUGAUCUGCUGAGUUGAGGUGCAUGAUGUAUGAUAACAUGCUGAUCUGCUGAGUUGA
This is a long non-coding RNA of Triticum aestivum (bread wheat), 943 nucleotides long. RefSeq lists it as uncharacterized. The transcript is spliced from 2 exons. NCBI's taxonomy places the organism in Eukaryota, Viridiplantae, Streptophyta, Magnoliopsida, Poales, Poaceae. The record is from RefSeq and is a predicted model, not a curated record.